RNAcentral lists this ribosomal RNA (497 nucleotides) under uncultured bacterium. Its description in RNAcentral is "partial 16S ribosomal RNA". It matches the Rfam family "Bacterial small subunit ribosomal RNA", at positions 28 to 507 of the family's 1533-position model. The record is from RNAcentral.
GAUGAACGCUGGCGGCGUGCCUAAUACAUGCAAGUCGAGCGAACAGAUAAGGAGCUUGCUCCUUUGACGUUAGCGGCGGACGGGUGAGUAACACGUGGGUAACCUACCUAUAAGACUGGGAUCACUUCGGGAAACCGGAGCUAAUACCGGAUAAUAUUUCGAACCGCAGGGUUCGAUAGUGAAAGAUGGUUUUGCUAUCACUUAGAGGUGGACCCGCGCCGGAUUAGCUAGUUGGUAAGGUAACGGCUUACCAAGGCGACGAUCCGUAGCCGACCUGAGAGGGUGAUCGGCCACACUGGAACUGAGACACGGUCCAGACUCCUACGGGAGGCAGCAGUAGGGAAUCUUCCGCAAUGGGCGAAAGCCUGACGGAGCAAUGCCGCGUGAGUGAUGAAGGUCUUCGGAUCGUAAAGCUCUGUUAGUAGGGAGGAACAUAAGUGUAAUUAACUGUGCCCGUCUUGACGUUACCUACUCAGAAAGCCCCGGCUAACUACGUG